Molecule: ribosomal RNA, 546 nt
Filed under: uncultured bacterium
Lineage: Bacteria
Description: bacterial SSU rRNA
Rfam family: Bacterial small subunit ribosomal RNA
Source: RNAcentral
UAGGGAAUCUUCGGCAAUGGGGGGAACCCUGACCGAGCAACGCCGCGUGAGUGAAGAAGGUUUUCGGAUCGUAAAGCUCUGUUGUUAAGGAAGAACGUGUGUGAGAGUGGAAAGUUCACACAGUGACGGUACUUAACCAGAAAGGGACGGCUAACUACGUGCCAGCAGCCGCGGUAAUACGUAGGUCCCGAGCGUUGUCCGGAUUUAUUGGGCGUAAAGCGAGCGCAGGCGGUUAGAUAAGUCUGAAGUGAAAGGCAGUGGCUCAACCAUUGUAGGCUUUGGAAACUGUUUAACUUGAGUGCAGAAGGGGAGAGUGGAAUUCCAUGUGUAGCGGUGAAAUGCGUAGAUAUAUGGAGGAACACCGGUGGCGAAAGCGGCUCUCUGGUCUGUAACUGACGCUGAGGCUCGAAAGCGUGGGGAGCGAACAGGAUUAGAUACCCUGGUAGUCCACACAGUAAACGAUGUAUACUCGCGGUUUGCGAUAGACAGUAAGCCGCCAAGCGAAAGCAUUAAGUAUACCACCUGGGGAGUACGCCGGCAACGGUG